CUUCAGUGAUGAUACGAUGACGAGACAGAUCAGGACUCAGUCUGGUUCUGUGGUUUCUGGUUCAGGUCCACGUUCUGUGGUUCUCCUCUGGUUCCUCAGAUCAGAGAGUCUGUUUCAUGUGAAGACACAGAGGCAUUUGUCUGAGAAGG
Molecule: small nucleolar RNA, 149 nt
Organism: Centropristis striata (black sea bass)
Lineage: Eukaryota; Metazoa; Chordata; Actinopteri; Perciformes; Serranidae
Source: RefSeq, a predicted model, not a curated record